This 86-nucleotide transfer RNA is filed under the name Weissella thailandensis. RNAcentral's name for it is "tRNA-Leu". It matches the Rfam family "tRNA". Rfam says of the family: Transfer RNA (tRNA) molecules are approximately 80 nucleotides in length. Their secondary structure includes four short double-helical elements and three loops (D, anti-codon, and T loops). Further hydrogen bonds mediate the characteristic L-shaped molecular structure. tRNAs have two regions of fundamental functional importance: the anti-codon, which is responsible for specific mRNA codon recognition, and the 3' end, to which the tRNAs corresponding amino acid is attached (by aminoacyl-tRNA synthetases). tRNAs cope with the degeneracy of the genetic code in two manners: having more than one tRNA (with a specific anti-codon) for a particular amino acid; and 'wobble' base-pairing, i.e. permitting non-standard base-pairing at the 3rd anti-codon position. The record is from RNAcentral. Lineage: Bacteria; Bacillati; Bacillota; Bacilli; Lactobacillales; Lactobacillaceae.
UGCCGGCUUGGCGGAAUAGGCAGACGCACAGGACUUAAAAUCCUGCGAUGGGGACAUCGUACCGGUUCGAUCCCGGUAGCCGGCAU